RNA transcript from Acomys russatus (golden spiny mouse), 1938 nucleotides. It is a transcript of the gene named 5-hydroxytryptamine receptor 7, with no coding region annotated. The record is from RefSeq and is a predicted model, not a curated record. The transcript has 4 exons. Lineage: Eukaryota; Metazoa; Chordata; Mammalia; Rodentia; Muridae.
CGGCCCGGCUCGCCACCCCGCGCCUCCCGGAGCGCCCGUCGGGGACCGCUGGCGCCUCCCGCGGGGAGUCCUCUCCCACGCGUCACCCGCAGCGGCUAGGGGGACCCUGGGACGUGCGGGGUCGCGAGGCCGAUCCGGGCGCCCCCCAGUGGCCAGCGCCGGCCCCUAUGGCUGGGCCGCGCGGAGCCGAGCGGGCAAGGUGAAUCCAGCCCUGGGGCCGGCAGCCGUGGCGCUUGGCGGCGGCGCCGGCUCCAUGGGCAGCGGCGCUGGGAAGGAUGAUGGACGUUAACAGCAGCGGCCGCCCCGACCUCUAUGGGCAUCUCCGCUCGCUCAUUCUGCCGGAGGUGGGGCGCGGGCUGCAGGACCUGAGCCCCGACGGUGGCGCCCACCCUGUAGUGAGCUCCUGGAUGCCGCACCUGCUGAGCGGCUUCCCAGAGGUGACGGCUAGCCCUGCUCCCACCUGGGACGCGCCCCCGGACAAUGUCUCCGGCUGCUGGGAGCAGAUCAACUAUGGCAGAGUCGAGAAAGUUGUGAUCGGCUCCAUCCUGACGCUCAUCACGCUGCUGACGAUCGCGGGCAACUGCCUAGUGGUGAUCUCGGUGUGCUUCGUCAAGAAGCUCCGCCAGCCCUCCAACUACCUGAUUGUGUCCCUGGCGCUGGCUGACCUCUCGGUGGCUGUGGCGGUCAUGCCUUUCGUUAGUGUCACCGACCUCAUUGGGGGCAAGUGGAUCUUUGGCCACUUCUUCUGUAACGUCUUCAUCGCCAUGGACGUCAUGUGUUGCACGGCCUCGAUCAUGACCCUGUGCGUGAUCAGCAUCGACAGGUACCUUGGGAUCACGAGGCCCCUCACGUACCCCGUGAGGCAGAACGGGAAAUGCAUGGCCAAAAUGAUCCUGUCGGUCUGGCUUCUCUCUGCCUCCAUCACCUUACCUCCGCUCUUUGGCUGGGCUCAGAACGUGAACGAUGACAAAGUAUGCUUGAUCAGCCAGGAUUUCGGCUACACCAUCUACUCCACCGCAGUGGCAUUUUAUAUCCCCAUGUCGGUCAUGCUGUUCAUGUACUAUCAGAUUUACAAGGCUGCCAGGAAGAGUGCGGCCAAACACAAGUUCCCAGGCUUCCCGCGCGUGCAGCCGGAGAGUGUCAUUUCCCUCAACGGUGUGGUGAAGCUCCAGAAGGAAGUGGAAGAGUGCGCGAACCUUUCGAGACUGCUCAAACAUGAAAGGAAAAACAUUUCCAUCUUCAAGAGGGAACAGAAAGCGGCCACCACCUUGGGGAUCAUCGUAGGAGCCUUCACUGUGUGCUGGCUGCCGUUUUUCCUCUUGUCGACAGCAAGGCCCUUUAUUUGCGGCACCUCCUGCAGCUGCAUUCCACUGUGGGUGGAGAGGACAUGUCUGUGGCUGGGCUAUGCAAACUCUCUUAUUAACCCUUUUAUAUAUGCCUUCUUCAACCGGGACCUGAGGACCACCUACCGCAGCCUACUCCAGUGUCAGUACCGGAAUAUCAACCGGAAGCUCUCUGCCGCAGGCAUGCACGAGGCCCUGAAACUUGCUGAGAGGCCCGAGAGAGCCGAGUUUGUGCUGUAAGGUCAUUUAUCAUUACCAUCCAUUCACCCCCUGCCCCCUUUCAUGACGCGUCUUGAAUGUUGGAUAAAGCCUCCUGCAUCAGUGGCUAGCUUAUCUAUUUUUCACCAGACAUCUGGUGUGAAUUCAGAAUACUUUCAUUCACGUAGCAUAAGGCUCAAGAGACAUCCAAGCAGGUAGGUAUUUGAAUGGGAAGAGGAGACUGGUCUGCUGAUGGAGUUGAAUUCAUGUGACUGGUGAUACGGAAGCAUAACCAGAGCCUCAGGAGUCCAGCAGGCACUCGAGAAUUUUCCCUGGGGUAACGGAGUGAACACAGGGAUAAAAGCUGUGAAUACUGUUGCACUGACAAAACUCUGAC